UAGGGAAUCUUCCACAAUGGACGCAAGUCUGAUGGAGCAACGCCGCGUGAGUGAAGAAGGUUUUCGGACCGUAAAGCUCUGUUGUUGGUGAAGAAGGAUAGAGGUAGUAACUGGCCUUUAUUUGACGGUAAUCAACCAGAAAGUCACGGCUAACUACGUGCCAGCAGCCGCGGUAAUACGUAGGUGGCAAGCGUUGUCCGGAUUUAUUGGGCGUAAAGCGAGCGCAGGCGGAAGAAUAAGUCUGAUGUGAAAGCCCCCGGGCUUAACCGAGGAAUUGCAUCGGAAACUGUUUUUCUGAGUGCAGAAGAGGAGAGUAGAACUCCAUGUGUAGCGGUGGAAUGCGUAGAUAUAUGGAAGAAUACCAGUGGCGAAGGCGGCUCUCUGGUCUGCAACUGACGCUGAGGCUCGAAAGCAUGGGUAGCGAACAGGAUUAGAUACCCUGGUAGUCCAUGCCGUAAA
Molecule: ribosomal RNA, 459 nt
Filed under: uncultured bacterium
Lineage: Bacteria
Description: partial 16S ribosomal RNA
Rfam family: Bacterial small subunit ribosomal RNA
Source: RNAcentral